GUCUCAGUUUUUGUUUUGCAAGCGUAUGUAUGCGUUCUAAAGGACGUAGCUUGUCCCACUGCUUGGGCGUUCUUGAGUGCAUCAAUUAAUAAAUAACCUUGCGUUCCGUGCAUUAUGUAAGGGCGCGCGACAGCGAAAGACUGGUCAGAAGAACGGAAACGCAGUAUGAGCAUGAAUUUCGCCUUGAUAGGAAAGGCGUUACGGUAGCGACGACAGUUGCAGCACCGGACUCGGGGGAGGGAUUCCGCGCAAUCUGUGAGGAUUUUCUCUGUUAUCACAACUGUGGAGCACGCUCACUCCUUGUGCGUCACUUAGCUGGAAGAUGUUGGUAGCUUACGCUUGAUGGUUUCUAUUCUUCUUCGUCGUCUCCUUUCGUGUCGAUGUGAUACAGCGGUGAGCACACUAUGUGUGCUUGUGUGUGACUGGCUGUGGCUGUGUUAGAGUAGCUGCGCGCUAUUUGGGCGCCUUGAUUGGUACAACCAUGCGUUGAACACCGGACGGAUCUGAGAAGCCUAUUCGUUUCUCAGCGUUACCGCGUGGUGUAAACAGUGCGGGCGCAGUCAGAUCCGUUGUCCGACAUGUUUGACAGCUGAUAGCUCCGGUGACGCAAAGACAGGGAACACGAAGAGGCGUGUGAAGUGCCCAGCAGCGCGGAAAGUCGUCCUGUGUUACGUCUCAGGUCCUGGCAUGCUGGGGCACUACUCGGAGGCCCGGGCCUACGGCAGUCGGGACGAGGAGGCGCAGCAGCACGCCGAUGUCUUCCUCGACUUUGACGACGACCCCGUGAGCAAGGAGGCCAUUCAACACGACUGGAGCGGUAUGCUCUUCUCACAGGAAGAGAACCCCUUCGUCGACGAAGACAACGAUUUUAUUCUCAUAGCCGAGUGCAACGAAGUCCACGGACCGAUGCCACUCGUAACCAUACCUCACAACAUAGGAGACAGGGUGGAGAGCAUAGACAUCAACUCAUUAGUAAUCAGCAUACUCUCUGUUGACUAUCAGCAAGUAGGAGCCUCAUCAACAUUCCCCAAGCUGGACAGCCAAAUCCUGAUGCCAAGUAUACGAGAUGAUCUGCACAUACUUGUCAACUACUCUGUCAUGUUGGAUCCCAAAGCAAGGGGUUUUGUUCGUCCCAUGUGCAUUGCCUAUGCUUCAUCCGACAAGGGAAAAUUGGUCAGAAAUGCACGCUACAUCCGAUCCGCACUGAUUGAGGCAUCUUUAGCACUGAAGUUGUUCAACAUCAAGUAUUUUGUUCAAGGAAUCAGGAAUCACCUCAAGGAUGUCAAGUACACCAGAAGAUUAAACGUCGGAUGCGGCCAGCGCUUGGACACGUUGAAUGGCGCGUCAAUCUCUGAGGCAAGCUUUCACGAGUCGCUCAACAAAUAUGAAGACAUGCUUGAAUCUGCACUUCAAGAAAUAGAGGACUCCCUGGCUGCUGGCUGCCCAUUUGAUGCUGACCAUGCUCGCCGCAUCAAGUACCAGGCCAAGGACUUGGUGCGCCACCUGCUAAACCUGCCAAGGCUGAGCCCCGAGCUGGAGCGAUUCCUCCAGUUUGCCACUGAAAAAGCACAGCUUCAUGAGCCCAGGGAGCUGAAGAUCCCAUUUCAGAGGGACUACGAACACGGCCUGGUGCCAUUGCGGGACAUCUGGAAGAAAGGCUUCAUCCUCUGCAUCUACUGGCUGUACGUCACAUACAAGUUUUUCAGAAGGAGAGCAGAGAGUGUGGCAGUCUGUCUACAGCAGGAAAAGCCAUUGUCUUGGUUACGCUAUGGUGCCUGCCUGAGGUCAACAGACUCCACAAGGGCAUCAGCCUCUAGUCUUGUUUCAAACGGCAACAUUUCAUCCCAUGACAGGUGCUCAAGGUCUAGUCAGCCAAUGUGUAUCUACUACCGCCUUGCUCAUCCUGAGUGCCUCCCAUUCGACAAAACAGCCGAUGGCUUGUGGGACGUGGACAGUGGAUUUCUCGACUGCUUCUCUCAUCUUCAUCUAGACAAAGGUGCAGUCGAAAGAGAAAAGGAGAAUGGAAGCGUUAACCACUCCAUGGCAAGCAUGCCACUGCCUGAGGAACUAUACAACAGGUUUGAAGCUGAAAACAGGAGAAUGAGUGAGUGUGAGAAAGGCAGCUCUCUGAUGGAGGCUUAUUGCAAGACAAAGGCAGCAGCAACCUCAUGGAGGUUUUGGCAUAUCAGACAAACGAGCCCCAAAGAUGCUGCAGGGCAGAGGUCACCCAAAAUACGGACUAUGUGGAAAGAGCAGCUACUGCGGCAGAGGAGAAACAGCGGAAGCAGCAACAACAGCGAGGAACAUGAGAAGGUGCAAGGGCCAGAAAUGUGCAUGUGGGAAAGAAGCUACUGGAUCAGGGAUGAAGAAUGCACUGACCCUGCAGAUUGCUCCAAGCAUGGGCUAACGCUGGAAAAACAAUGGGAUGCUAUGCAGACUUGCGUGCAUGAUGGUUCUGAAGCAAUAUUCCUUCAAGUGCUGAACAGACGGGUCAAAGUGGAGGACAUCCUUUACUCGUUGCUGAUUGGCCGGCCAAUAGUUGUGGUGGGCAGGCCUCUCAGUGCACAUGAGGUUGCUGCCAGUGCCAAGGUUUUGGCUCUCUUCGCACCCCGGCGGUUCGGUGAUUUCCUGUGGUUUGAGGACCAGAGGUUUGAUUCACUGGACAACUCGUGCUUAAAUAAUGCAGCAGUAAUUGGUUAUGUUGACGAGCAUCGGACCAAAGACUUCGGGCUACCAUCUUCAGUCAGGAAAAAGGCUUCUGUGCUCAAUGUUGAAACUAGUGACUUCACUGGUCCUUGUUAUGGGUGCCCUCCUUAAGCAGACAAGCCAGAGGAUACGACUGCUUGAAGAAAAUGAAGCCCUACUAGCUGUGAUCUCAAGCGUGCUUGCAGAUGUUGAGUAUGUGGCUCACACGUGGGUCCUGUUGACUGCCAGUGCCCGGAAAACAGAAUCCAAGGCGUUUGCGAAGCAGAAGCAGCUCACCAACUGUGACAUGGCCAUACUGAAG
RNAcentral lists this unclassified non-coding RNA (3007 nucleotides) under Dermacentor andersoni. Its description in RNAcentral is "uncharacterized LOC126522761". The record is from RNAcentral. Lineage: Eukaryota; Metazoa; Arthropoda; Arachnida; Ixodida; Ixodidae.